RNAcentral lists this ribosomal RNA (254 nucleotides) under uncultured bacterium. RNAcentral describes it as "partial 16S ribosomal RNA". It matches the Rfam family "Bacterial small subunit ribosomal RNA", at positions 524 to 776 of the family's 1533-position model. The record is from RNAcentral.
UACGUGGGGAGCAAGCGUUGUUCGGAUUUACUGGGCGUAAAGGGCGCGUAGGCGGCCAGCACAAGUCAGUUGUGAAAUCUCCGGGCUUAACUCGGAAAGGCCAUCUGAUACUGCGCGACUAGAGUGCGGAAGGGGCAACUGGAAUUCUCGGUGUAGCGGUGAAAUGCGUAGAUAUCGAGAGGAACACCAGCGGCGAAGGCGGGUUGCUGGGCCGACACUGACGCUGAGGCGCGAAAGCCAGGGGAGCGAACGGG